Molecule: RNase P RNA, 358 nt
Filed under: chicken gut metagenome
Description: Bacterial RNase P class A
Rfam family: Bacterial RNase P class A
About the family: Ribonuclease P (RNase P) is a ubiquitous endoribonuclease, found in archaea, bacteria and eukarya as well as chloroplasts and mitochondria. Its best characterised activity is the generation of mature 5'-ends of tRNAs by cleaving the 5'-leader elements of precursor-tRNAs.
Source: RNAcentral
GUCAGUCGGGCAGCCGCUGCUGCAGUACGUGUUUUCAAACGGCUGCAGGAGAGGAAAGUCCGGGCUUUACAGGACAGGGUGCCAGAUAACGUCUGGGGAGCGUAAGCUCACGACCAGUGCAACAGAAAGCAAACCGCCGGUUUUCCGGUAAGGGUGAAAUGGUGCGGUAAGAGCGCACCGCGCCGGCAGUAAUGUUCGGCGGCAGGGUAAACUCCACCCAAAGCAAGAUCGAAUAGGCCUCCAUCAGGUGUGGUCCGCACCGGGGGCGGGUAGAUCGCUUGAGCCUGCAGGUGACUGCAGGCCUAGAUGAAUGGCUGCCGCUGCGCAAGCAGACAGAACCCGGCUUACAGACUGACCU